GGAAUAUUGCACAAUGGGCGCAAGCCUGAUGCAGCCAUGCCGCGUGUGUGAAGAAGGCCUUCGGGUUGUAAAGCACUUUCAGUCGUGAGGAAGGUGGUAGUGUUAAUAGCACUAUCAUUUGACGUUAGCGACAGAAGAAGCACCGGCUAACUCCGUGCCAGCAGCCGCGGUAAUACGGAGGGUGCGAGCGUUAAUCGGAAUUACUGGGCGUAAA
This 214-nucleotide ribosomal RNA is filed under the name Vibrio sp. OPT41. RNAcentral's name for it is "partial 16S ribosomal RNA". It matches the Rfam family "Bacterial small subunit ribosomal RNA", at positions 358 to 564 of the family's 1533-position model. The record is from RNAcentral. RNAcentral also lists the same sequence under 1 other name. Lineage: Bacteria; Pseudomonadati; Pseudomonadota; Gammaproteobacteria; Vibrionales; Vibrionaceae.